RNAcentral lists this transfer RNA (95 nucleotides) under Candidozyma auris. Its description in RNAcentral is "[Candida] auris tRNA-Arg". It matches the Rfam family "tRNA". From Rfam's summary of the family: Transfer RNA (tRNA) molecules are approximately 80 nucleotides in length. Their secondary structure includes four short double-helical elements and three loops (D, anti-codon, and T loops). Further hydrogen bonds mediate the characteristic L-shaped molecular structure. tRNAs have two regions of fundamental functional importance: the anti-codon, which is responsible for specific mRNA codon recognition, and the 3' end, to which the tRNAs corresponding amino acid is attached (by aminoacyl-tRNA synthetases). tRNAs cope with the degeneracy of the genetic code in two manners: having more than one tRNA (with a specific anti-codon) for a particular amino acid; and 'wobble' base-pairing, i.e. permitting non-standard base-pairing at the 3rd anti-codon position. Lineage: Eukaryota; Fungi; Ascomycota; Pichiomycetes; Serinales; Metschnikowiaceae. The record is from RNAcentral.
UUCCUCAUGGCCCAAUGGUCAAGGCGUCUGGCUACGAUUAGUAACCACUUCUGUUGGAACCAGAAGAUUCCAGGUUCGACUCCUGGUGGGGAAGC